AGUUAAUGAACUUGAAUAAGUAUAUGUCUUGAAAACAUAAAAUAGUAUUUAAAAUAUACUAUUAACUU
This 68-nucleotide transfer RNA is filed under the name Trachelus iudaicus. RNAcentral describes it as "tRNA-Ser". The record is from RNAcentral. Lineage: Eukaryota; Metazoa; Arthropoda; Insecta; Hymenoptera; Cephidae.